Non-coding RNA from Podarcis lilfordi (Lilford's wall lizard), 73 nucleotides. The record is from the annotation of a GenBank genome assembly. NCBI's taxonomy places the organism in Eukaryota, Metazoa, Chordata, Lepidosauria, Squamata, Lacertidae.
AGAAAUGCAGCUCAUUGGUGGAGCAUCUGCCUUUGAAUGCAGAAGGUCCCAAGUUCAACCCCUGACAUCUCCA